RNAcentral lists this ribosomal RNA (294 nucleotides) under uncultured bacterium. RNAcentral describes it as "partial 16S ribosomal RNA". The record is from RNAcentral.
GGACUACCGGGGUAUCUAAUCCGUUUUGCUCCCCACGCUUUCAUGCCUCAAUGUCAGUAGCAGAAUAGUUAACUGCCUUCGCUAUAUUGGUGUUCUUCCAUAUAUCGUCACAUUUUACCGCUCCACAUGGAGUUCCGUUAACCUCUCCUACACUCGAGUAUGAUAGUAUUAUCAACUUCCACGAGGUUAGGCCUCGAUUUGCCACUGAUAACUUAUCACACCAUCUACGCAUCCUUUACGCCCAAUAAAUCCGGAUAACGUUCGCCACCUAUGUCUUACCGCGGCUGCUGGCAC